RNAcentral lists this transfer RNA (72 nucleotides) under Bos taurus (domestic cattle). It matches the Rfam family "tRNA". From Rfam's summary of the family: Transfer RNA (tRNA) molecules are approximately 80 nucleotides in length. Their secondary structure includes four short double-helical elements and three loops (D, anti-codon, and T loops). Further hydrogen bonds mediate the characteristic L-shaped molecular structure. tRNAs have two regions of fundamental functional importance: the anti-codon, which is responsible for specific mRNA codon recognition, and the 3' end, to which the tRNAs corresponding amino acid is attached (by aminoacyl-tRNA synthetases). tRNAs cope with the degeneracy of the genetic code in two manners: having more than one tRNA (with a specific anti-codon) for a particular amino acid; and 'wobble' base-pairing, i.e. permitting non-standard base-pairing at the 3rd anti-codon position. Lineage: Eukaryota; Metazoa; Chordata; Mammalia; Artiodactyla; Bovidae. The record is from Rfam by way of RNAcentral. RNAcentral also lists the same sequence under 2 other names.
UCCCUAGUGGCUCAGGUGGUAAAGAACCUGUCUGCAAUGCAGGAGAUCCAGGUUCAAUCCCUGGAUUGGGAA